Molecule: ribosomal RNA, 506 nt
Filed under: uncultured Glomus
Lineage: Eukaryota; Fungi; Glomeromycota; Glomeromycetes; Glomerales; Glomeraceae
Description: SSU rRNA
Rfam family: Eukaryotic small subunit ribosomal RNA
Source: RNAcentral
AGCAGCCGCGGUAAUUCCAGCUCCAAUAGCGUAUAUUAAAGUUGCUGCAGUUAAAAAGCUCGUAGUUGAAUUUCGGGAUCAAUAUGUCGGUCGUGCCUCGGUACGUACUGGCUUAUUGGUUUCUCCUUUCUGAAGAACCAUGAUGUCAUUUAUUUGGUGUCGUGGGAAAUCAGGACUGUUACUUUGAAAAAAUUAGAGUGUUUAAAGCAGGCUCACGCUUGAAUACAUUAGCAUGGAAUAAUGAAAUAGGACGUUUGAUUCUAUUUUGUUGGUUUCUAGGAUCGACGUAAUGAUUAAUAGGGAUAGUUGGGGGCAUUAGUAUUCAAUUGUCAGAGGUGAAAUUCUUGGAUUUAUUGAAGACUAACUACUGCGAAAGCAUUUGCCAAGGAUGUUUUCAUUAAUCAAGAACGAAAGUUAGGGGAUCGAAGACGAUCAGAUACCGUCGUAGUCUUAACCAUAAACUAUGCCGACUAGGGAUCGGAUGAUGUUAAUUUUUUAAUGACUCA